RNAcentral lists this ribosomal RNA (494 nucleotides) under uncultured bacterium. RNAcentral describes it as "partial 16S ribosomal RNA". It matches the Rfam family "Bacterial small subunit ribosomal RNA", at positions 28 to 507 of the family's 1533-position model. The record is from RNAcentral.
GACGAACGCUGGCGGCGCGCUUAACACAUGCAAGUCGAACGGAAAGGCCUGCUUUCCCUUGUGGAUUGCGGGUACUCGAGUGGCGAACGGGUGAGUAACACGUGAGUGAUCUGCCCCCAACUUGGGUAUAAGCCUGGGAAACUGGGUCUAAUUCCCGAUAGGACUGCAGGGUGGUGCCUGUGGUGGAAAACGAUUUUCUAGUGGUUGGGGAUGAGCUCGCGGCCUAUCAGCUUGUUGGUGGGGUAAUGGCCUACCAAGGCGGCGACGGGUAGCCGGCCUGAGAGGGUGGACGGCCACAUUGGGACUGAGAUACGGCCCAGACUCCUACGGGAGGCAGCAGUGGGGAAGAAUGCACAAUGGGCGGAAGCCUGAUGCAGCGACGCCGCGUGGGGGAUGACGGCCUUCGGGUUGUAAACUCCUUUCGACCGCGAGGAAGCCACCUGGUUGGAAGGGUGGUGACGGUAGUGGUAGAAGAAGCACCGGCUAACUACGUG